RNAcentral lists this ribosomal RNA (433 nucleotides) under uncultured bacterium. RNAcentral describes it as "partial 16S ribosomal RNA". It matches the Rfam family "Bacterial small subunit ribosomal RNA", at positions 29 to 507 of the family's 1533-position model. The record is from RNAcentral.
AACGAACGCUGGCGGCAUGCCUAACACAUGCAAGUCGAACGAGACCUUCGGGUCUAUUGGCGCACGGGUGCGUAACGCGUGGGAACCUGCCCUUAGGUUCGGAAUAACUCCCCGAAAGGGGUGCUAAUACCGGAUAAUGUCUUCGGACCAAAGAUUUAUCGCCUUUGGAUGGGCCCGCGUUGGAUUAGCUAGUUGGUAGGGUAAAAGCCUACCAAGGCGACGAUCCAUAGCUGGUCUGAGAGGAUGAUCAGCCACACUGGGACUGAGACACGGCCCAGACUCCUACGGGAGGCAGCAGUGGGGAAUAGUGGACAAUGGGCGAAAGCCUGAUCCAGCAAUGCCGCGUGAGUGAUGAAGGCCUUAGGGUUGUAAAGCUCUUUUACCCGGGAUGAUAAUGACAGUACCGGGAGAAUAAGCCCCGGCUAACUCCGUG